GUGGCGGUUCACGUGGCACGAACCCAGGGUGAAAAAUCGAGAAUUAUUGGUAUCAUCCAUUCGCUGGCGACUGCUAGAGGGAGCGCGGAUGUUUCCCUGUGCCUUAUCCAUCCCUCAGAGGGAUCCACUUGUGUGUUUGCCAGGGCUGCAGCAAGCCUGCAGAGCUGCCACCCUGCCCGUGGCAGCCGUGCAGAUGGCUUCAUCCUCACUGAAGUGAAAUGAUAGAAUCACAGGGUGAUUUGUGUUGGAAAGGACCUUAAAGAUCAUCUCAUUCCAGCACCCUGCCGUGGGCAGGGACACCUUCCACCACAUCAGGUUGCUCCAAGCCCCAUAGACAGGGAUGCUUUGGCUCACAUGGCUACAUACACAUACCAACCCACUCCAUCCCUGCAUCCCAAAUCUGCAGGCUGUGAGUUGUCACCUGAGCCACCUGUACCUGGAAAAGUUCACAAAUGGGUUUAGGAACUGGGCAGAAGCCCCCAUGGCAGUGGGGUGGGAGCCUCACAGAAACGGGAGUGAUGUGGGAAGCACAGCAAGGAGCCAGGAUGGUGAGCAAGGACCCUUGUUAAGGGGAAAGUCAGGGUAAAGGGGGAGAAACAUCCCAGCACAAUUUGCUAAACCCUCUGAUAUUUGCCUAAAUUCAGGCUUUUGGCUGAACAAGCUGAGAAUUUGGGGCAGUUCUUUGAACUUCAGGGUGUCCUUGUGCAGCACUGGCACUGCAGAGCCCUGAUUCAAAAUGCAGUAAAAAGGAUAGAAAAGGGCUGCUGGUAUGAGAGCUGCAGGGAUGGCUCCAGGAGAGGCUGGACCUGAGGCAGAGCAGGAGCACAUCACCAUCCCACACACCCAGGGUUUGGUGUGCAGAGUCCCCAGGCAGCUUUUGGGGACAGAAAUGGGGUAAAUCUGCUGUGUCAGUCUGCUGAAAAACAUCAACAAGAGCAGCCUGGAUCCCCCAAAACCUCAGGUCUGAUCUGGAUGCUGGGUACAACCAGCUCUCCAAGAGUCAAAGGGACUGAGUCCUUGCCAAGUAGCAUCUAGUCCUUACAUCCAUCUGGAUCAAUCCAUCUGGAUAUUGUAAAACAGAGAAAAUCUAGCAUUUAUUCCAUUUAUGUUCCAUAUAUAUUCCAUUCCAUUUAUUCCAUGAAAUGGUACAGUGGCUUUGCAAGGGACACUUAUUUCUGGCAGAGUUUCCAGCAGUGUCUGCAACCCAAGCUGGGUGCUGGACCAGGGCACUCAGAAUAUCAGUGGAAAGGUCUGUCUUCCUUAAUGAAUUCCCAGAGGGCCAACAAACAGCCCACAAGGAGAAUAAGUGCAAUUUUUGAAAUUCUUUCUCCAUCAUCUCUACAGCCAUCCCUGAAUGAGAUAAAGUUCUCUUUUAUCAAGAAGUUGACAGGUCUGCAAGGAGUCUGUCCCAAAGGGAUGGGAGUUCCUGGCCACGUAGAUGAGGCACAAGGAGAUUGGGAAUAUUUCCUAAGGACACGAGGGAAACCUGAGUCAAUGCCAGAACAAUUCCCAGCUGAAAGAGCUGUGAGUAUCACCAGUACAUCCUCAGAAAUGGACCCUCUGUGAUGGGAAAAAGAUCUCCAAAGUGGGAUUUUUGAUCUGUGCCUCAGGUUUGUUGUGCCCUGGCAUGCUCUAGGGCCAGCUUCCAAUUGGCCCCUUCCAAAUAUCACCAGGGGCACCUGUAUGGCUGUUUAUCACCAAGAAAAUCCAGUCUAAGAGGCCAGCAACUUCAGCAGCAAUCCCCAGGAAAAGCACAGCGUGGCCCACAUUCCACAGUCUCUUCCAGCACAUCUCCACUAAAUAAUUCCCAUCAGAGCUACAACAGUUGUUAUUAUCUAUUCUUUUUUUCCCCUCUGCAAAGGUGUAUUUGUAUUUGCAUUUUACCCCCCCUCUCACUCAUAAAAUAUGGAGCACCAACUCUUUCCUUCCUCAGCUUCCUCAGCAGCAUCUUUAUGCAAACCUUGCUGAUGUGGUACUGCUGUAACAACUUAUUAGUUAUUAAAACUAAUAGCUUUAAGUUAUUAAAAUGCAUAACUAAGUUAUAGUUACUAACUAAGUUGUUAAAACUGAAUUAAACAGAGCUAAGGAUGGACAGGUUAAAAAUUUGAGUGAAUAUUCUGUUUCUCCCCUUGCCACAUUUCCCCAUCUCUCUUUCUGUGCGGGUAAAAUGGUCUUGGCGACCUUCCUGUGCUGCACAUCCCUGGGGACCAUGAAAACAAACCCAUUAAUGUUUAUAAAGUGUCUCAGACUGGGGGAAUUACAUCACUGUGGCGAGAUACAAGCUUAAUGGAUCAAAACAAACCUCAGCUCCAAACCCCCCAGCUUAGACACAUCUCAGUUACCCGGCACAAACCUCAAGGAAUCCCACUGAGAAGGGAUAAUUGAGAGAAAAAUGUGAUCCCAGAGAUUUUUCUGCAGUAAACCCAUUUUAUGUUAAUAGAAAGCAGAUUUCUAGACCCCUUUGCAAACGAAUGACUUCCACAGCAUAUUUCACAGCUGAGCGCAUCCAUGGCACCAGCUUUGGACACGGGGCUAUUAAACCCAACAUUUGUUUAAUGAAUUACAGCAGUCCAUGGAUCUGUGUGUGCUCAGCCCGUGUUUAAAUGUUUAUUGGGAAGACGUCAGCAGCCAGCUCUGCAUGAGCAGGUAUCAGCCUCAACGAUGAGCACUCGCUGCAAUGGAUCCAAAUCUUUGAACAUAUUUGAGUUUUGCUUUCUUAUCCAAGACAGAUUACCCAGGAGGUUCAGGGUCUCUGCUAAACAUAAAAUCUUUUGGGUUCAGUGGAAGUUUGGGGUGUUUUCUCCUUGAUGAUGAACUGUGUGUGUGAGAGAGACAAGCUGUUGUGCAUCUCCCACCUGCCUGGGGUUGGUGCAUGUGACUGAACAGUGGAUUAAACCAUUAAAACUCACACACUCAAGCAGGGUUGAUGUGCUGCAGCCGUUUCCAAGCUGACCCCACUCUCACUUCACCAGUCAAUCUAUAAACCUUGACAAAAAAUUAACUCUGGUUCACCCUCCAAUUUUAACACAUUCUCCACUGCAAACUAUGUGUGAAGUGCUACCUUUCGUGGUAGAUAGAGACAGUAGUGAUGAUGUGCUGUGAUCGCUUUGCUUUCCUGCAAAAUGCCUCUGAUUUAUGGUGGUCUCCACUCCAGAGAUCCCCACUCAGGAGCACUUUCAGAGUCACUGACUGCUUUGGGCUGGAAGAGACCCUAAGGACCAUCUCAUUCCCCCCUCUGCCAUGGCAGGGACACCUUCCACUGUCCCAGACUGAUCCAAGCCCUGUCCAGCCUGGCCUUGGACACUGACAGGGAUCCAGGGGCAGCCACCCUCACAGUUAAGAAUUUCUUCCUCGUAUCCACUCUAUCCCUGCCCUCUGCCAGUGGGAAGCCGGUCCCCCUUGUUCUGUCAUUUCAGGUGAAGUCUGACUGAAAUGCCAUUUCCCCUCCUUUCCCCAUCACAGAUUAGGGAGCAAAGAUGUUGGGCUUUUUCAGAGCUGCCAGGGUGAUUUGAGAGAUCAGGUCCUGCUGAUCCCCCAAGACUUCCCUGUCCCUUGGGAAGGUGAGAACGGGGACUGUGGAGACAUUAUCUUUGCAUCCUGAAUUUACCUCCUGUUCUGUUGAGACCAGGAUCAUGUGGAAACUUCAAUGAACAGUGAGAAUGUGAAACGCUCAGCUAGCAGGAUAAUGUGUGCAGUGAAAAAAAUCCUGUGAUCAAUCAGCAGACAAAGAUCUACUUAAAUUAGGUGUUAGUGGGAGAGAUGCAGGAAAGGUGAUUAUGGGUUUGUCUCCCUGUUUCCCUCAGCAACAAUGCUGACACAACGGGGUGGGUCACCCUACCCUGUCAUUAAUGGAGCAUCAGCAUUCAUCUGACAGCUCCUUUGUCCUGGGAAGUCAAUUCCGAUGAAGAUUUGACAUUAGCAGAAGCACGGUGAAACUCAGAACCUUUGUAUUUUCAUGACCCUCCAAAUGCUUUAACCUGAUGGAUUACAGGUAAAAUCACUGUCCUAAUUUGGGCAGGAGGCAGAAAUAAAUAUUUGUACUCAUCUGUUUCAACUGUGGCAAUAAACAUCACGGGCAGAGCCAGUGGAAGAGCAGCCCUUUGCUCCCUUCCCAGAAAACAAAACUGGGAACAGGGGCCACAGGGCAGAGCACAUGGGAAAGGUCAGCUGGAACAUCAGAGAAAUGUGAUUUUUUUUUUAAUUGCAAUAUUUGUCAAGUAACUGAAAGACAAGAUCUCUUCAGCCCUCUAAAAUAAUUCUAAACUAAAUUCAGAAAUGGAGAACUCCAGAUUGUAACAGAGAGGGGUUUUGACAUGCACAGCACUGUCCCCCACUGGCACCCAGCAGGCAGGGAGCACAUCCACAAAAUUCCCACGGGUGUUUCAGGGACAAAACAGCUCAAUCCAGACAAGAGUGAAACUUAAUUUAGUCCUUCC
Long non-coding RNA from Passer domesticus (house sparrow), 4436 nucleotides. RefSeq lists it as uncharacterized. The transcript has 3 exons. NCBI's taxonomy places the organism in Eukaryota, Metazoa, Chordata, Aves, Passeriformes, Passeridae. The record is from RefSeq and is a predicted model, not a curated record.